AUCUAAGUACCCCGAGGAAAAGAAAUCAACCGAGAUUCCCCCAGUAGCGGCGAGCGAACGGGGAGGAGCCCAGAGCCUGAAUCAGCAUGUGUGUUAGUGGAAGCGUCUGGAAAGGCGCGCGAUACAGGGUGACAGCCCCGUACACAAAAGCGCAUGUGCUGUGAGCUCGAUGAGUAGGGCGGGACACGUGGUAUCCUGUCUGAAUAUGGGGGGACCAUCCUCCAAGGCUAAAUACUCCUGACUGACCGAUAGUGAACCAGUACCGUGAGGGAAAGGCGAAAAGAACCCCGGCGAGGGGAGUGAAAAAGAACCUGAAACCGUGUACGUACAAGCAGUGGGAGCCCCACCACUAAGCCAGUGGUGAACUCCACAUACGCAUCCUUUGCUGAGGAUACGGUUAACGGAGCGAAAGCGACGUUCAACCGCAAAAGAAGCAGAGGGGGCUUAGUGGUGGGGUGACUGCGUACCUUUUGUAUAAUGGGUCAGCGACUUAUAUUCUGUAGCAAGGUUAACCGAAUAGGGGAGCCGCAGGGAAACCGAGUCUUAAUUGGGCGUUAAGUUGCAGGGUAUAGACCCGAAACCCGGUGAUCUAGCCAUGGGCAGGUUGAAGGUUGGGUAACACUAACUGGAGGACCGAACCGACUAAUGUUGAAAAAUUAGCGGAUGACCUGUGGCUGGGGGUGAAAGGCCAAUCAAACCGGGAGAUAGCUGGUUCUCCCCGAAAGCUAUUUAGGUAGCGCCUCGUGAAUUCAUCUCCGGGGGUAGAGCACUGUUUCGGCUAGGGGGCCAUCCCGGCUUACCAACCCGAUGCAAACUGCGAAUACCGGAGAAUGUUAUCACGGGAGACACACGGCGGGUGCUAACGUCCGUCGUGAAGAGGGAAACAACCCAGACCGCCAGCUAAGGUCCCAAAGUCAUGGUUAAGUGGGAAACGAUGUGGGAAGGCCCAGACAGCCAGGAUGUUGGCUUAGAAGCAGCCAUCAUUUAAAGAAAGCGUAAUAGCUCACUGGUCGAGUCGGCCUGCGCGGAAGAUGUAACGGGGCUAAACCAUG
RNAcentral lists this ribosomal RNA (1052 nucleotides) under Salmonella enterica. Its description in RNAcentral is "partial 23S ribosomal RNA". It matches the Rfam family "Bacterial large subunit ribosomal RNA", at positions 200 to 1191 of the family's 2925-position model. RNAcentral also lists the same sequence under 1 other name. Lineage: Bacteria; Pseudomonadati; Pseudomonadota; Gammaproteobacteria; Enterobacterales; Enterobacteriaceae. The record is from RNAcentral.